Long non-coding RNA from Lates calcarifer (barramundi perch), 302 nucleotides. RefSeq lists it as uncharacterized. Lineage: Eukaryota; Metazoa; Chordata; Actinopteri; Centropomidae. The transcript has 3 exons. The record is from RefSeq and is a predicted model, not a curated record.
GAAACCGUCUUAUUGAUUAUGAAACAUCAAAUACCACGUUAACCUUUUAUUCGACUCUUCUCUCCUUGUUGAAGAAGGAGAAAAUGUCUCUUGAACCGAAUAAUUUGCAGGAGUCCAUGGAGACAUGUGGAAAGCAUUCAUGGAUAUAAAUGGACCGGACCGGUAUCUUUGCAAGGGACCAGCAUCAUGCUAGUGGAUGAAACUGGACCAAAUCAGUGAUGUGAGGAGGAAAAGUACCACUGGUGGGAUUAUGUCAACCAGAGCAAAGCUGGUAGACUGCGGGCCUGAGGACCAAUUGCAGG